This is a long non-coding RNA of Sinocyclocheilus grahami, 370 nucleotides long. RefSeq lists it as uncharacterized. The record is from RefSeq and is a predicted model, not a curated record. Lineage: Eukaryota; Metazoa; Chordata; Actinopteri; Cypriniformes; Cyprinidae. The transcript has 3 exons.
UUAAUAUGUUUUAUUACAGUUUGUGUUAGCAAAAAAGCACUCCCUUUGCAUUACAGUAGUGCAGGCUAGGCUCUCUUGUGCACAGUGAUGUGUUUUUUGUGUCUCUGCAGCAAGUAUCCCCACAAGUGAGACAGAGUCUGUGAACACAGAGAAGCCAGGAGAAGAUGAGAAAGUCUGCUGUGGGCCCAUCUGUCAGAAAUUGACAAAGUCGAAGUUCAGCCGCUGGCGUUGCUGGAACAGGUUUUGUCACCGGAAGUGCCGAGCUGUGGUGAAAUCCACCCUCUUCUAUUGGCUGGUGAUUCUGCUGGUGUUCCUCAAUACACUCACAAUAUCAUCCGAACAUUAUAACCAACCCGACUGGCUCACGGAA